This 253-nucleotide ribosomal RNA is filed under the name uncultured bacterium. RNAcentral describes it as "partial 16S ribosomal RNA". It matches the Rfam family "Bacterial small subunit ribosomal RNA", at positions 524 to 776 of the family's 1533-position model. The record is from RNAcentral.
UACGUAGGGUGCGGGCGUUAAUCGGAAUUACUGGGCGUAAAGCGUGCGCAGGCGGCCUCUUAAGUCAGAUGUGAAAUCCCCGGGCUUAACCUGGGAACUGCGUUUGAAACUGGGAGGCUAGAGUGUGGAAGAGGGGGGUGGAGUUCCAGGUGUAGCAGUGAAAUGCGUAGAGAUCUGGAGGAACACCGAUGGCGAAGGCAGCCCCCUGGGCUAACACUGACGCUCAUGCACGAAAGCGUGGGGAGCAAACAGG